This 76-nucleotide transfer RNA is filed under the name Planctomycetota bacterium. RNAcentral's name for it is "tRNA-Arg". It matches the Rfam family "tRNA". From Rfam's summary of the family: Transfer RNA (tRNA) molecules are approximately 80 nucleotides in length. Their secondary structure includes four short double-helical elements and three loops (D, anti-codon, and T loops). Lineage: Bacteria; Pseudomonadati; Planctomycetota. The record is from RNAcentral.
GCGCCCGUAGCUCAAUGGAUAGAGUCACGGACUUCGAAUCCGAAGGUUGGGCGUUCGAAUCGCCCCGGGCGCGCCA